GAGGAUGUGGCUCAAGCGGUAGCGUGCUCGCUUAGCAUGCGCGGGGUGCUGGGUUCGAUCCUCAGCACCACA
This 72-nucleotide transfer RNA is filed under the name Marmota monax (woodchuck). RNAcentral describes it as "tRNA.Ala". The record is from RNAcentral. Lineage: Eukaryota; Metazoa; Chordata; Mammalia; Rodentia; Sciuridae.